Molecule: ribosomal RNA, 253 nt
Filed under: uncultured bacterium
Lineage: Bacteria
Description: partial 16S ribosomal RNA
Rfam family: Bacterial small subunit ribosomal RNA
Source: RNAcentral
UACAGAGGGGGCAAGCGUUGUUCGGAAUUACUGGGCGUAAAGGGCGCGUAGGCGGCCUUCUAAGUCGAACGUGAAAUCCCCGGGCUCAACCCGGGAACUGCGUCCGAUACUGGAAGGCUUGAAUCCGGGAGAGGGAUGUGGAAUUCCAGGUGUAGCGGUGAAAUGCGUAGAGAUCCGGAGGAACACCAGCGGCGAAGGCGGCAUCCUGGACUGGUCCUGACACUCAGGAGCGAAAGCGUGGGGAGCGAUCCGG